CCUACGGGAGGCAGCAGUGGGGGAUAUUGCACAAUGGGGGGAACCCUGAUGCAGCGACGCCGCGUGGGUGAAGAAGCGCCUCGGCGCGUACAGCCCUGUCAGCAGGGAAGAAAAUGACGGUACCUGACGAAGAAGCCCCGGCUAACUACGUGCCAGCAGCCGCGGUAAUACGUAGGGGGCAAGCGUUAUCCGGAUUUACUGGGUGUAAAGGGGGCGGAGACGGCGAUGCAAGCCAGGAGUGAACGCCCGGGGCCCAACCCCGGGACUGCUCUUGGAACUGCGUGGCUGGAGUGCAGGAGGGGCAGGCGGAAUUCCUGGUGUAGCGGUGAAAUGCGUAGAUAUCAGGAGGAACACCGGUGGCGAAGGCGGCCUGCUGGACUGCAACUGACGUUGAGGCCCGAAAGCGUGGGGAGCAAACAGGAUUAGAUACCCUAGUAGUC
RNAcentral lists this ribosomal RNA (440 nucleotides) under uncultured bacterium. RNAcentral's name for it is "partial 16S ribosomal RNA". It matches the Rfam family "Bacterial small subunit ribosomal RNA", at positions 338 to 795 of the family's 1533-position model. The record is from RNAcentral.